This 1341-nucleotide long non-coding RNA is filed under the name Triticum aestivum (bread wheat). Its description in RNAcentral is "long non-coding RNA (TAES_LNC013708)". The record is from RNAcentral. Lineage: Eukaryota; Viridiplantae; Streptophyta; Magnoliopsida; Poales; Poaceae.
GAAACCAACAAGAACAACAGAUCAAAAGGGAAGAAAUUACACGGGGAAGAGUAUGCAAUCAUCAAUGGACUGAACGGGGAAAGGAGCGCAAAAACAGCAAAACAAGGGAAAGAAAAAGUGAUUGAGCCUAUUGUGCCAAUAUCUUGCUACUACUCCGGAGCAGGCAGCGCGCCUCUGGUAAGACAGGGGAGGAAAUCAGCAGCAGCUCCUCCCCCACCACAGCACCCUCGUCAUGAUCCCAUCUUCCUCGCCGUCUUCUCCUUCAUCUUCGUCUUCCUCGUCUUCUUCCUGCUCCUGCAAUGCCAUGGCGCCUCCUCCUCUUCAACUUCACCGGCACGCUGACCGACUGUAGUGGGUGGGGAACCAAAUGGUGGUGGAAGAACAGGAUGCCCACAAGCUCAAGCUCUAUAUAGGGGGAGAGGUAUCACACAGUCGCUCACUCCCACACUCACUCACACUCUAUCCCUUGCUCACUCAGUGAAGCUUGGUGCCUUUCUUCCCUGCAGCUCGCUUUCUCCUCUCCGCCACCUUCUCUUCCUCCUUCCUCGUCCCUUUAUGCUUUCCCCCACCUUUGACGUGAGAGGAGAUCCUCCGCCUCCUCCUCCUCCUCCCACCCCGCCCUCCCCCUCACCUCAGGGCCGGUGGGCCCGCCCCAAGGCUCCUUUCCGUUAGCCUCGCUUCUUCGCCCUCACCUUCUUCUGCUCUUCCUCUUUUCACCCUCUCCUCCAUGCGAUGCGCCGUGCCCGCGGCUGCCUGCUACCUCCUGCUCAGCAAGAAAAGGCAAGUGCGUGUGAGCGUGAGAGGCUCCAACGGGAAGAAAGGAAAAGCAGGGGAAGCUAGCUAGGCCAGCCGUAGCCGUAGCCUGCUUUGGGGCGGCCAGAGCAACUUCUCAGAGGCGGAAAUGCUAAAGAAAUCGAAGGUGCUGGAUACAAGGAUGACAUGUACAAGACCUCGCUUUAGCCCAAAAGAUCAUACGCACAUGCACGCAGCAGGGUGCAGACGAGACACCACCAAAGCAUGGACGAGAGCUGGCUGUGAGCUUCGCCGGCCUGGUAUCCUCCUCCCUUGGUGCUCCUCGUCUUCCUCCGCCGCUGGCUGGUGGACACUCUCAAAGGUCUCAAGACGGCGCAGCUCCUUCCUUUCUCUCUAUAUAACUAGUGGCCUUUCUCUCUGUAGCUAGGCUUGCGAUUUCUUGUUUUGAAACGUCCAAUCCACACGGCCGGAACGAACGAACGAACGAACUGGUUCGGCUUCCCUUUCCUUUCCCUCCCAACCCUCCACUGUGACACUGAGCGGCUUAGACGAAAUUAAAUAGGGCGCCUAGAUCUGCGGCAGCGGCGG